UUCCUACGGGGGGCAGCAGUGGGGAAUAUUGGGCAAUGGGCGCAAGCCUGACCCAGCAACGCCGCGUGAAGGAAGAAGGCUUUCGGGUUGUAAACUUCUUUUAAGAGGGACGAAGAAAGUGACGGUACCUCUUGAAUAAGCCACGGCUAACUACGUGCCAGCAGCCGCGGUAAUACGUAGGUGGCAAGCGUUAUCCGGAUUUAUUGGGUGUAAAGGGCGUGUAGGCGGGAAUGCAAGUCAGAUGUGAAAACUAUGGGCUCAACCCAUAGCCUGCAUUUGAAACUGUAUUUCUUGAGUGCUGGAGG
This 305-nucleotide ribosomal RNA is filed under the name uncultured bacterium. Its description in RNAcentral is "bacterial SSU rRNA". It matches the Rfam family "Bacterial small subunit ribosomal RNA", at positions 336 to 655 of the family's 1533-position model. The record is from RNAcentral.